CGGAAAGAACAAAAAACAAAAGCAAAUGAAAGGCCUUCAUUUUCCUUCCUCCAUAAGCUUCAAAACCCAUUUCCCUCGAUCGAUUUACAAGUAGAUUUAGUUGAAACCAUUUCAAGAAAAGAUACGAACACAGGAAUUUUUCAAGUUCAUAGGAACCCGAUGGUAAAUCCCAGAGAAAUGAAGAAGAAGAAAUUGUGGAGCAAAACAUUGCUAGGUUGGGGGAGCCAGACGCCUAGCCCUAGCUCUAGAUGUGGAUGAGUCUUUCCUUUCAUUUUAUUUUGAUGUUAAAACUAUGUGUUUUGGUUGUUGGUUGUAAAAAAACUGUUUUGGGGAAUUGUAUUUUGAUACAAUUAUUCUUUUGUGGAUCGGAUAGAUGCUUCUACUUGGGAGAUGAUUAUUGUUUUUAGAUUUUAUAAUUAAUUUGACUGUCCAGUGUUUUUGAUAAA
Carya illinoinensis is the source of this 446-nucleotide long non-coding RNA. RefSeq lists it as uncharacterized. The record is from RefSeq and is a predicted model, not a curated record. NCBI's taxonomy places the organism in Eukaryota, Viridiplantae, Streptophyta, Magnoliopsida, Fagales, Juglandaceae. The transcript is spliced from 3 exons.